CAGCAGCCACGGUAAUACGUAGGGUGCAAGCGUUAAUCGGAAUUACUGGGCGUAAAGCGUGCGCAGGCGGUUAUAUAAGACAGAUGUGAAAUCCCCGGGCUCAACCUGGGAACUGCAUUUGUGACUGUAUAGCUAGAGUACGGCAGAGGGGGAUGGAAUUCCGCGUGUAGCAGUGAAAUGCGUAGAUAUGCGGAGGAACACCGAUGGCGAAGGCAAUCCCCUGGGCCUGUACUGACGCUUAUGCACGAAAGCGUGGGGAGCAAACAGGAUUAGAUACCCCUGUAGUCCCUGUCUCUUAUAC
This 301-nucleotide ribosomal RNA is filed under the name uncultured bacterium. RNAcentral describes it as "partial 16S ribosomal RNA". It matches the Rfam family "Bacterial small subunit ribosomal RNA", at positions 509 to 807 of the family's 1533-position model. The record is from RNAcentral.